AUGAACGCUAGCGGCAGGCUUAACACAUGCAAGUCGAGGGGUAUAAGUCUUCGGAUUUAGAGACCGGCGCACGGGUGCGUAACGCGUAUGCAAUCUACCUUUUACAGAGGGAUAGCCCAGAGAAAUUUGGAUUAAUACCUCAUAGCAUUAUGAAAUGGCAUCAUUUUAUAAUUAAAGUCACAACGGUAAAAGAUGAGCAUGCGUCCCAUUAGCUAGUUGGUAAGGUAACGGCUUACCAAGGCUACGAUGGGUAGGGG
This 257-nucleotide ribosomal RNA is filed under the name Flavobacterium sp. ISO58_OTU5152. Its description in RNAcentral is "partial 16S ribosomal RNA". It matches the Rfam family "Bacterial small subunit ribosomal RNA", at positions 29 to 289 of the family's 1533-position model. Lineage: Bacteria; Pseudomonadati; Bacteroidota; Flavobacteriia; Flavobacteriales; Flavobacteriaceae. RNAcentral also lists the same sequence under 1 other name. The record is from RNAcentral.